This is a long non-coding RNA of Oenanthe melanoleuca, 2307 nucleotides long. RefSeq lists it as uncharacterized. The transcript is spliced from 5 exons. Lineage: Eukaryota; Metazoa; Chordata; Aves; Passeriformes; Muscicapidae. The record is from RefSeq and is a predicted model, not a curated record.
CUUGCUGCCAGUACCUCAAGGUGCACAACCUCCCUAUUUACUGCAUUCUCUGCCCAGCAAGAGAAUACCCAAAGAUCAUGUGGAGCAGGUGAUGGAACCCCCUGGGAACCUGUGUGUCAGAACUAAUAUUUGCUAAUUUUCUAGGGGAUGUGAAGCCAGAAUGGAUGUGUGUCUGUUUCCUGACUGCUUGUGACAAGGAGGAAAUACAAAAGAAAGAAAGAACUGCUAAAUGUUAACAAGCAGCUCUAGCAGCUACUGCAAUAGGAUUAAAGGAAAAAAACACCUGAUUUCAGCAUCUGUUUCUUUUCAAAUGGAAUCAAAUGGAGUCCUGGAAAAUUUUUGUUCCUGCUACAUUUUGUGCUAAAAUAGUAAGAUGGAUGAGAUUGUAAUGACACAAGGAAAGUCAGUAUAAUCACCCUUACUACACUUGAGAAUCAAUCCUGGCUCCACAAAAGCAAGGAAUGAAGACUGUAUUCCCAAAGGACUACCUGAUAUUUGCAUACCCCUAAAAGCAGCCUUGCAAAGCGAGUCAACUUUUUCAACAGCCCAGGAGUCAUGAAAAGGAAGAAGAAGUCCUGUUAAUAUCAGUAAUUAUCAAGUAAGGUGUAGGUUAUCAGCCUCCUGCAGAAGCACUGGGGACGUCAGUGGGAGUUGAGCAGGGGCGCAGAGCCGGGUCCUUCGUUCGUCCCGCAGCACACGCUGUGUCCCUGCCGCGGAGGUGUUCCUGUCCUGCACCUGCCCGAGCACUGCGCUGGGAGACUAGAGCAGCUGCAGGACACCAUCUAGUGGUGCCGAGCCCGAGAUAAUUACAGACUUUAUCUUCCCUCGUCUCUUUUUAGCUCAGAUUUCUUCUCUAAACCACAGCCACCACAAGGGGAAAAUUCUGGUCCGUUCAGAAGUAUCCAGAGUCUUCCCACACUGAACGAUUAACCAUCACAUUGACCAUGCCUUCAGUGAUACAGCCAUAGCACCUGUCCUUCUUCCACAAAGGCACAGGAAGGUGCUUGGCAAUUUUGGGGCUUGGAUUAUGAGUAUGUAUGGGCUUGGUGUAUGAACAUUGUGGAAAAAUUCCUUACAGUAUUUAGAAUUCUGGGUGAAGCAGAUACAGAGUUAUCUAAAAGUAGGAAAAAGGGUAUCUAAAAAGGGUAUCUAAAGGGUAUCUUAUGUAGACAUGCAUUAAUCACACAAUGUUUGUUACAGGCACCACCCAUAGUGAAAGAAAUAUUUCAUGAGAUAAAUAAUAUACAAAAUACAUUCUAGGGCUGAUUAAUCUCUUAAACUGGUCAAAAUACAAAUAUUUGUUAAGUGGAAUUAUUUCACAUUUGGUGUGACUAGGAAGGGAAUCUAAAAAACAUUUAAGAAAAUUUAUUUUCUUAAAGGCUUUUUUCUUUUCAGAAUCUAGUUAGCAAAAUAGGAAACUUGGGACUGUGGUGGGUUUGGAGAAUUAACAAUGUUGUGUUCAAAGACCUGAUAAAGUAUUCCUCACAAUCCUUCAUACCAAGGUCAAAAUGUUAUUCCCAUUGUAAUAUAGUUUUGCAACAUCCUGAACAUGUACAGUCAACACAAAAAUGUUGUUCAAGCCACAGAAUUUUGCAGGAUAAGAUCUAUGACAUCUGCAAAGCAUGUAAGUGAGAAUUUCAUUAUCCCCUUUCAUUCCUCUGCAAGGUUGGCACCUGAUACAGGAAAGGCAUUUUGAGGAAUGGUUAGGUCUGAAAAGCCCACUGAUGGAAGAAACCACAUUAAAAAUUCUGGAUGCACAACCUUCAAAGGAGAGUUGGUGGGAAGAGAUUAAGAGCAGGAAAAAGAAAAUAGAUAGCAGGAAAAAGGUUAAGAAAAAAAGGAGGUAACAAGACUACUUGCAGUGGAAGGCAGAUAAUUUAGGCUAUGAGCCUAAAGGGAAGUUGUGCAGCACUCCAGUGGUGUGGGCAAAGAGCUUACAUUUGAAACACUGAAGAACAGGAAAUUGCCAAAGGGUUUUAGAAAGUAGUUUAGCCAGAAUAAUAACGUUAUUAACUGAAUGAAGACUUUAAAGUGGCAUUUUCAGGACAUGGGGAUAGGAGAAGGUUACAAUAAUUGAGACAAAGCAAUAACCUUAGCAUGGUAUUUUUGCUCAUAGCUUAGGAACAAAAAUAAAUCCACCCUACAUGCAUUGAUUUUUAAAAUUCUCUGUAAUCUUUAUACUCAAGAUAGCAUGGAUUUUGUUGUCACCUUCCAAACCUUGACAAAUUACUUCAGUUUUGGUAUAGCACUUUUGUAAUUGUUCUAGUGGGCUCAGAAGAAGUCUACAAAUAAAUACUAACUCCUGAG